Long non-coding RNA from Grus americana (Whooping crane), 601 nucleotides. RefSeq lists it as uncharacterized. The record is from RefSeq and is a predicted model, not a curated record. Lineage: Eukaryota; Metazoa; Chordata; Aves; Gruiformes; Gruidae. The transcript is spliced from 3 exons.
AUUUGCUGCUGGGAAACUUGUCUUUGUUGUUUUCCUUUUUCCAUUUCAUCCUCCUGUUCUGGAACCAGAUUUUGACCUGCCUUUCUGUCAAUCCCAGGGCAUGCGAGACCUCGAUCCUCCGUUUGCGGGUCAGCCCCCUCCCUGCCUCCUCCCCCGCCGAGGACUUGUUCAAGAUGUGGUCGGGGAUGAUUGCGAACUAAAAGUAUUGUGUCGCUUAUCACACCCAGAACAGAACCUUUAUGAAUGCUGCUUAUCGGGGGACGGGUGUAUUUUCUGGUGCAACUUCGGAGAAACAUUUAUUCAGAAAAUACCUGUUUGUAACAAUUUGAAAGAAAACCUAUAGUGAAAUUAUUGCCACCAUUCCUUUCUGUUAUUUGUGGCUGAAGGACUGGAACGUCUGAAUAAUUUUUGUCUUGUAAUUUUAAAGAAACAAAGGCCGAAAUAAAAGUGAAUGGAGUUAAAAGUUUACAUUUUUGCUGCUACUGCAUCAGUGGAGUAUUUAUACAUAUCACAAAACGCGGUAAGUUAAUAGGAUUUUGGAUUAAUUUACUAUUUUGUAGCUUUUAAAAAUAUUUCCAAACAUAUUAAGUGAAGACCUUGG